Oxyura jamaicensis (ruddy duck) is the source of this 931-nucleotide long non-coding RNA. RefSeq lists it as uncharacterized. The record is from RefSeq and is a predicted model, not a curated record. The transcript has 3 exons. Lineage: Eukaryota; Metazoa; Chordata; Aves; Anseriformes; Anatidae.
GCUGGGGCAAAAAGCACUGGAAAUGGAGCUUGCAGGGAGGCAUGGGGGUGCACAGAUCUCUUUCCUGUCACCUUCUUGCUUUAUGGUAUUCUGUCAGUAUUUUGAGCAAAUCCUCUAAGCUGCGCUAGCUUCUUAACUACUUGCUUCAGCUGAAUCCAGAUCUAUGUCAGUGCUGCACUAAAAUAAUGCAGCUUUGAGAUUUUUUUUUGUAUUUUUUUAAUUGAAGGCAACAGUUGAAGGACCUUGGGGGUGCUGGAAUCAGGAGAGUCCCUCCACCCUGAGGACAGACUGCUGGGAACACAAGCUCAUCAGGAAACUCUUGGAUGACGUCCCAAAAAUGUUUCUAGAGAAUAGAAAGUUGGUCUGGCAGAAGAAUAUGUUUAACAUAUAAAUAAUGGAUGUUUCCAGCACACUGUGUGCUGCAAAGCUGUGUGUCUUGAGUCCAAAAGGAGGAUGGAGUGUGCGCUGGUGGCAGGCAGAGGACCGAGAUGCUGUGUCGUUUUUGCCCCACCGCCUGCCAAUGACCUUGCCUCUGUGACAUGCUUUGGAAAUGUUCUUGAAGUUUCUAUGCGUAUCUGGAGUUUUGCCAAAUGGAGUCGUCAGCUGCCUGCUGCGCUGCUAUGAAACAUGGCUGGCUCCUGGCCCCAAGGACAGCAGCACCCACCAGCCGGUAAGUGGUGCCAGUGUGGUCCUUUCUUGUGUUCAGCUGCACAGGGGAAGCACCAGACCCCACAGAUCACAUGUCAGAUGUGCCUACACACACUUAUAUACUCACUGUGUGCAUAAGAACUCUUAUUUACACAUGAGCAGAACCAAGCUUGGUCUAAAGGACUGGUUGGGAAAGGGCUCUGCCACUGACCUUUGAAGGGUCUUCACAUCUGCAGGAGGCACUUCGUUCCCUCCAGUGUGUAAUACGCCCUCAAAAUUUGGA